Molecule: ribosomal RNA, 507 nt
Filed under: uncultured bacterium
Lineage: Bacteria
Description: bacterial SSU rRNA
Rfam family: Bacterial small subunit ribosomal RNA
Source: RNAcentral
UAGUCCACACAGUAAACGAUGGAUACUAGGUGUUGGAUGGUAACGUUCAGCGCCGGAGCAAACGCAUUAAGUAUCCCGCCUGGGGAGUACGAUCGCAAGAUUGAAACUCAAAGGAAUUGACGGGGGCCCGCACAAGCGGUGGAGCAUGUGGUUUAAUUCGAUGCAACGCGAAGAACCUUACCUGGGCUUGAACUGGUACUGCCAUACUGUGAAAGCAGUUAUUCCUUCGGGACGGUACUAGAGGUGCUGCAUGGCUGUCGUCAGCUCGUGUCGUGAGAUGUUGGGUUAAGUCCCGCAACGAGCGCAACCCUUACUCUUAGUUGCCAGCAUGUAAUGAUGGGAACUCUAAGGGGACUGCCCCGGCUAACGGGGAGGAAGGUGGGGAUGACGUCAAGUCCUCGUGGCCUUUAUGUCCAGGGCUACACACGUGCUACAAUGGUAUGUACAAAGGGUAGCGAGCCUGCGAAGGUUAGCCAAUCCCAAAAAGCAUAUCUUAGUUCGGAUUGG